This 323-nucleotide long non-coding RNA is filed under the name Capsella rubella. Its description in RNAcentral is "long non-coding RNA (CRUB_LNC003986)". Lineage: Eukaryota; Viridiplantae; Streptophyta; Magnoliopsida; Brassicales; Brassicaceae. The record is from RNAcentral.
UAAUUUCUUGCCAGUAUUUAGCAGUGGUUGUAGAUAUUAGCGCAUUCCCCUUAAAUGUUUUUGGUGCCUAGAAAGAUUCUCACAUGUCAGGUACAACACACAUACGAAGGAAAGAUGAAAGUAGAGAAGCAUUGUGGAUAAUAGCACCUGGAUGCAGAGAGUAACGAAAGUGUUCAACUCCUUUUUCAGGUUAUCCCAAAUGAUUCCAAUAAUCUUUUCAACAUAUGCUUCAAGUUGCUGCUUGAAAUGCAAAGCUGGAUCCUUGGCAUCAACUGGUCGAAUAGCUUCAGCCGCUGGAGAACGGAAACCCUGGUAAAUAGAAG